GUUUAUUAAUGGCCGCGGUACUUUGACCGUGCUAAGGUAGCGUAAUCAAUUGACUUUUAAUUGAAGUCAGGUAUGAAUGGAGUUACGGGGUUUAACUGUCUCUUAUUUAAUUUAUCGAAAUUACUAUUCAGGUGAAAAAGCCUGAAAAUAUAAAAAGGACGAGAAGACCCUUAGAGUUUAUCUUAUUUUAAAAAAUAUUUUUUAAAUCAGUUUUGUUGGGGCAACAUAGGAUUAAAUUAACAUCCUAAAUUUAAUAAGCCGAUAUUUAUAAGUUUGAAAAAACUACCUUAGGGAUAACAGCAUAAUUUUAUUAAUAAGUUUGUGACCUCGAUGUUGGACUAAGAAACUAAAAGGCUAGUCGCCUUUUAGGAAAGCUCUGUUCGAGCUAUAAAUUCU
Molecule: ribosomal RNA, 396 nt
Filed under: Ceratodoris hallucigenia
Lineage: Eukaryota; Metazoa; Mollusca; Gastropoda; Nudibranchia; Goniodorididae
Description: Okenia hallucigenia partial large subunit ribosomal RNA
Rfam family: Bacterial large subunit ribosomal RNA
Source: RNAcentral